This 497-nucleotide ribosomal RNA is filed under the name uncultured bacterium. RNAcentral describes it as "partial 16S ribosomal RNA". It matches the Rfam family "Bacterial small subunit ribosomal RNA", at positions 28 to 507 of the family's 1533-position model. The record is from RNAcentral.
GAUGAACGCUGGCGGCGUGCCUAAUACAUGCAAGUCGAGCGAACAGACGAGGAUCUUUCUCCUCUGACGUUAGCGGCGGACGGGUGAGUAACACGUGGAUAACCUACCUAUAAGACUGGGAUAACUUCGGGAAACCGGAGCUAAUACCGGAUAAUAUAUUGAACCGCAUGGUUCAAUAGUGAAAGACGGUUUUGCUGUCACUUAUAGAUGGAUCCGCGCCGCAUUAGCUAGUUGGUAAGGUAACGGCUUACCAAGGCAACGAUGCGUAGCCGACCUGAGAGGGUGAUCGGCCAAACUGGCACUGAGACACGGUCCAGACCCCUACGGGAGGCAGCAGUAGGGAAUCUUCCGCAAUGGGAGAAAGCCUGACGGAGCAAAGCCGCGUGAGUGAUGAAGGUCUUCGGAUCGUAAAACUCUGUUAUUAGGGAAGAACAAAUGUGUAAGUAACUAUGCACGUCUUGACGGUACCUAAACAGAAAGCCACGGCUAACUACGUG